RNAcentral lists this long non-coding RNA (714 nucleotides) under Triticum aestivum (bread wheat). RNAcentral describes it as "long non-coding RNA (TAES_LNC010266)". Lineage: Eukaryota; Viridiplantae; Streptophyta; Magnoliopsida; Poales; Poaceae. The record is from RNAcentral.
CCUUACCUGUUCAAGUACAUUGGGGUUGGAAUUUUUACUCUUCUCCUCUACUCUGUUCAAGUUCAAGUUCGUUGGGUGAGCAUAAUUUCCUCCUCUGUUCAGGCAAGCACAUAUCACCAGUACCGCUGACCUUUGAUCGACCGUCUAUUACUUGCUCUCUUCGCAAAGGCGCUAUGGCUGCUGGUUCUCUUCAACAGUCUGUUCAACUAGGAGAAUGGGAGAGAGAGGAUGGGCAACGACAGCUGCUCCUGGGUUCUCGCAUGCAGACGCGGUUCUGCUGCUGUUGAUGCACGCACUCUCUCUUGCUAGUGGUGCUGCCCCGUGCUAUUGUUCCCUGCUGCUAAUAAUGGUGUUACUGUUGCUUCCAACCUUCCUCUCAAUAUUUUGCUACUUGUGCUGCUAGUACAAGCUGACGCUUUCUUUUUUACGUUCCUCUCUCUCAUUGAGUGCACAAGAAAAAUAUAUAUGAUUCUGAUUGGAUUUCUGUAGAAAUGUACCCCCUUUUAAUUAUGUUCUAAUUUGAUACACAGAAACAUCGGUGCAUGACUUUGUGUGGUUUUUGUAUUGAGUUUGUAUGAGUUUGGUUAGUAGUUUGUGCAAGGCACGGGAAGUGGCAUGCGGGGAUUUCUCCCUGCCCGCGGCCGACGGAGUCGUUCUCCGCCGCCGUCCUCCGAGGCGACCCUGUCGGACACCGUUUAACCAAUUGACAACUUC